AUUGAACGCUGGCGGCAUGCCUUACACAUGCAAGUCGAACGGCAGCACGGGAGCAAUCCUGGUGGCGAGUGGCGAACGGGUGAGUAAUAUAUCGGAACGUGCCCAGUCGUGGGGAUAACGUAGCGAAAGCUACGCUAAUACCGCAUACGAUCUAUGGAUGAAAGCGGGGGAUCGCAAGACCUCGCGCGAUUGGAGCGGCCGAUAUCAGAUUAGGUAGUUGGUGAGGUAAAGGCUCACCAAGCCGACGAUCUGUAGCUGGUCUGAGAGGACGACCAGCCACACUGGGACUGAGACACGGCCCAGACUCCUACGGGAGGCAGCAGUGGGGAAUUUUGGACAAUGGGCGCAAGCCUGAUCCAGCAAUGCCGCGUGCAGGAUGAAGGCCUUCGGUUGUAACUAGCUUUGUUACGGAACGAAACGGGUAGAGCUCUAAUACAGUUGUCUAAUGACGUACCGUAAGAAUAAGACACCGGCUAACUACGUACG
RNAcentral lists this ribosomal RNA (486 nucleotides) under uncultured bacterium. RNAcentral's name for it is "bacterial SSU rRNA". It matches the Rfam family "Bacterial small subunit ribosomal RNA", at positions 30 to 509 of the family's 1533-position model. The record is from RNAcentral.